Molecule: ribosomal RNA, 497 nt
Filed under: uncultured bacterium
Lineage: Bacteria
Description: partial 16S ribosomal RNA
Rfam family: Bacterial small subunit ribosomal RNA
Source: RNAcentral
GAUGAACGCUGGCGGCGUGCCUAAUACAUGCAAGUCGAGCGAACAGACGAGGAGCUUGCUCCUCUGACGUUAGCGGCGGACGGGUGAGUAACACGUGGAUAACCUACCUAUAAUACUGGGAUAACUUCGGGAAACCGGAGCUAAUACCGGAUAAUAUAUUGAACCGCAUGGUUCAAUAGUGAAAGACGGUUUUGCUGUCACUUAUAGAUGUAUCCGCGCCGCAUUAGCUAGUUGGUAAGGUAACGGCUUACCAAGGCAACGAUGCGUAGCCGACCUGAGAGGGUGAUCGGCCACACUGGAACUGAGACACGGUCCAGACUCCUACGGGAGGCAGCAGUAGGGAAUCUUCCGCAAUGGGCGAAAGCCUGACGGAGCAACGCCGCGUGAGUGAUGAAGGUCUUCGGAUCGUAAAACUCUGUUAUUAGGGAAGAACAAAUGUGUAAGUAAAUAUGCACGUAUUGACGGUACCUAAUCAGAAAGCCACGGCUAACUACGUG